This 788-nucleotide ribosomal RNA is filed under the name Bacillus halotolerans. Its description in RNAcentral is "bacterial SSU rRNA". It matches the Rfam family "Bacterial small subunit ribosomal RNA", at positions 73 to 845 of the family's 1533-position model. Lineage: Bacteria; Bacillati; Bacillota; Bacilli; Caryophanales; Bacillaceae. The record is from RNAcentral.
UGGGAGCUUGCUCCCUGAUGUUAGCGGCGGACGGGUGAGUAACACGUGGGUAACCUGCCUGUAAGACUGGGAUAACUCCGGGAAACCGGGGCUAAUACCGGAUGCUUGUUUGAACCGCAUGGUUCAAACAUAAAAGGUGGCUUCGGCUACCACUUACAGAUGGACCCGCGGCGCAUUAGCUAGUUGGUGAGGUAAUGGCUCACCAAGGCAACGAUGCGUAGCCGACCUGAGAGGGUGAUCGGCCACACUGGGACUGAGACACGGCCCAGACUCCUACGGGAGGCAGCAGUAGGGAAUCUUCCGCAAUGGACGAAAGUCUGACGGAGCAACGCCGCGUGAGUGAUGAAGGUUUUCGGAUCGUAAAGCUCUGUUGUUAGGGAAGAACAAGUACCGUUCGAAUAGGGCGGUACCUUGACGGUACCUAACCAGAAAGCCACGGCUAACUACGUGCCAGCAGCCGCGGUAAUACGUAGGUGGCAAGCGUUGUCCGGAAUUAUUGGGCGUAAAGGGCUCGCAGGCGGUUCCUUAAGUCUGAUGUGAAAGCCCCCGGCUCAACCGGGGAGGGUCAUUGGAAACUGGGGAACUUGAGUGCAGAAGAGGAGAGUGGAAUUCCACGUGUAGCGGUGAAAUGCGUAGAGAUGUGGAGGAACACCAGUGGCGAAGGCGACUCUCUGGUCUGUAACUGACGCUGAGGAGCGAAAGCGUGGGGAGCGAACAGGAUUAGAUACCCUGGUAGUCCACGCCGUAAACGAUGAGUGCUAAGUGUUAGGGGGUUCCCGCCCGUAAUU